GACGUAGGGGGCAAGCGUUGUCCGGAAUCAUUGGGCGUAAAGAGCGUGUAGGCGGUCCGAUAAGUCGGUUGUGAAAGUCCAGGGCUCAACCCUGGGAUGCCGACCGAUACUGUCGGACUAGAGUUCGGAAGAGGCGAGUGGAAUUCCCGGUGUAGCGGUGAAAUGCGCAGAUAUCGGGAGGAACACCUAUGGCGAAGGCAGCUCGCUGGGACGUUACUGACGCUGAGACGCGAAAGCGUGGGGAGCAAACAGG
RNAcentral lists this ribosomal RNA (253 nucleotides) under uncultured bacterium. RNAcentral's name for it is "partial 16S ribosomal RNA". It matches the Rfam family "Bacterial small subunit ribosomal RNA", at positions 524 to 776 of the family's 1533-position model. The record is from RNAcentral.